UCCUUGGUGGCUCAGUGGUAAAGAAUCUGCCUGCAAUGCAGGAGAUGCAGGUUCCAUCCCUGGUCGGGAAG
This 71-nucleotide transfer RNA is filed under the name Bos taurus (domestic cattle). It matches the Rfam family "tRNA". From Rfam's summary of the family: Transfer RNA (tRNA) molecules are approximately 80 nucleotides in length. Their secondary structure includes four short double-helical elements and three loops (D, anti-codon, and T loops). RNAcentral also lists the same sequence under 4 other names. Lineage: Eukaryota; Metazoa; Chordata; Mammalia; Artiodactyla; Bovidae. The record is from Rfam by way of RNAcentral.